This 56-nucleotide transfer RNA is filed under the name Dipodomys ordii (Ord's kangaroo rat). It matches the Rfam family "tRNA", at positions 10 to 63 of the family's 71-position model. From Rfam's summary of the family: Transfer RNA (tRNA) molecules are approximately 80 nucleotides in length. Their secondary structure includes four short double-helical elements and three loops (D, anti-codon, and T loops). The record is from Rfam by way of RNAcentral. Lineage: Eukaryota; Metazoa; Chordata; Mammalia; Rodentia; Heteromyidae.
GCUCAGUGGUAGAGCGCUUGCCUUGAAUGCAUGAGGCCCUGGGUUCGAUUCCUCAG